Long non-coding RNA from Haemorhous mexicanus (house finch), 528 nucleotides. RefSeq lists it as uncharacterized. The transcript has 3 exons. The record is from RefSeq and is a predicted model, not a curated record. Lineage: Eukaryota; Metazoa; Chordata; Aves; Passeriformes; Fringillidae.
GGGUACAGUUCACUGCAUUUACUUACACAGACAUUAGAAAACAUUUUUAAAACAGAAUACAAACUUGGCUGUAGAUUACAUUUGUAGAUUAGAAAGCUUCUGCACUGAGAUCCUACCUGCCGUUAUGUAAAGGAAAAGAGAACCAGGGGGGAGAGGAUACAUAGCUGGCUAAAUAAACAGUAAAUGAGCUGUUUAAACAGUUGUAUCUAUACACACAAGUAAUAAAAGCAUCAGGCACCUGGUGCAAAGCUAUUAGGUCCUAAUUCUGACAACAAUAUACAUCAUUAUAGUGGGAUCUGAUAAAGAGCAAACACUGGAGGCAUUACAUGUCUUUAGAAGAAUCAGGCUUCCUACCUUAGCAAGAGUGAUAGAAGGUCUCUUUGUAGAGGUGAAGAAAUGUGGUGUAGCAGUGGUGUAGCUGGCUGGAUCCUGUUUUCCCUGUCUCAGGAAGCAUGAUGCACCUCCCCAGCUCCUAUUCAGAGAAAUCUGCUUGUCGCUGAUUUGCUAUUCAACAUUUAAAGGAAAGAG